GCAAGUCGAACGGCAGCACGGGUGCUUGCACCUGGUGGCGAGUGGCGAACUGGUGAGUAAUAUAUCGGAACGUACCUUAUCGUGGGGGAUAACGCAGCGAAAGCUGCGCUAAUACCGCAUACGCCCUGAGGGGGAAAGCGGGGGACCGUAAGGCCUCGCGCGAUUAGAGCGGCCGAUAUCUGAUUAGCUUGUUGGUGGGGUAAAAGCCCACCAAGGCGACGAUCAGUAGCUGGUCUGAGAGGACGAUCAGCCACACUGGGACUGAGACACGGCCCAGACUCCUACGGGAGGCAGCAGUGGGGAAUUUUGGACAAUGGGGGCAACCCUGAUCCAGCAAUGCCGCGUGAGUGAAGAAGGCCUUCGGGUUGUAAAGCUCUUUUGUCAGGGAAGAAACAGCAGCUCUAACACAGUCUGCGAAUGACGGUACCUGAAGAAUAAGCACCGGCUAACUACGUGCCAGCAGCCGCGGUAAUACGUAGGGGUGCAAGCGUUAAUCGGAAUUACUGGGCGUAAAGCGUGCGCAGGCGGUUAUACAAGACAGGCGUGAAAUCCCCGGGCUUAACCUGGGAAUGGCGUCUGUGACUGUAUGACUAGAGUGUGUCAGAGGGGGGUAGAAUUCCACGUGUAGCAGUGAAAUGCGUAGAUAUGUGGAGGAAUACCAAUGGCGAAGGCAGCCCCCUGGGAUAACACUGACGCUCAUGCACGAAAGCGUGGGGAGCAAACAGGAUUAGAUACCCUGGUUGUCCACGCCCUAAACGAUGCCGACUAGUUGUUGGGAAUUUACAUUCUCAGUAACGUAGCUAACGCGUGAAGUCGGCCGCCUGGGGAGUACGGUCGCAAGAUUAAAACUCAAAGGAAUUGACGGGGACCCGCACAAGCGGUGGAUGAUGUGGAUUAAUUCGA
Molecule: ribosomal RNA, 903 nt
Filed under: uncultured Burkholderiaceae bacterium
Lineage: Bacteria; Pseudomonadati; Pseudomonadota; Betaproteobacteria; Burkholderiales; Burkholderiaceae
Description: bacterial SSU rRNA
Rfam family: Bacterial small subunit ribosomal RNA
Source: RNAcentral